Non-coding RNA from Otolemur garnettii (small-eared galago), 296 nucleotides. NCBI's taxonomy places the organism in Eukaryota, Metazoa, Chordata, Mammalia, Primates, Galagidae. The record is from Rfam.
GCCAGGCACAGUGGCACAUGCCUAUAGUCCCAGCUACUCAGGAGGCUGAGACAGGAGGACCACUUGAGUCCAGGAGUUCUGGGCUGCAGUGCACUAUGCCAACCAGAUGUUCACAAUAAGUUCGGCAACAAUAUGGUGACCUCCCAGGAGCGGAAGACCACCAGGUUGUCUAAGAAGGGGUGAACAACUGGCCCCGGGGGGAAACGGAGCAGGUCAAGGCUCCUGUGCUAAUUAAUCAGUGGUGGGAUCGCACCACUGCACUGCAGCCUGGGCAACACAGUGAGACCCUGGCUCUU